UCUCCGUUGGUGGACCAGCGGAGGGAUCAUUACCGAGUUGUACCAACUCCCAAACCCCUGUGAACAUACCGCACGUUGCUUCGGCGGACCGCCCCGGCGCCCGAACCCCCCGGGGGCGACGGCCCGGACCCAGGCGCCCGCCGGGGGACCCAAACCUCGCCUUCGCUUUUAGUGGAAUCUCCCUCUGAGUACAGAAGACGAACGAAUCAAAACUUUCAACAACGGGUCUCUUGGUUCUG
This 239-nucleotide unclassified non-coding RNA is filed under the name plant metagenome. RNAcentral's name for it is "partial contains small subunit ribosomal RNA, internal transcribed spacer 1, and 5.8S ribosomal RNA". The record is from RNAcentral.